UACGGAGGAUGCAAGCGUUAUCCGGAUUCAUUGGGUUUAAAGGGUGCGUAGGCGGCUAUUUAAGUCAGUGGUGAAAUCUUGCCGCUUAACGGUAAAAUUGCCAUUGAUACUGAAUAGCUUGAGUACAGUUGAGGUAGGCGGAAUGUGUAGUGUAGCGGUGAAAUGCUUAGAUAUUACACAGAACACCAAUUGCGAAGGCAGCUUACUAAACUGUCACUGACGCUGAUGCACGAAAGCGUGGGGAUCGAAC
RNAcentral lists this ribosomal RNA (250 nucleotides) under uncultured bacterium. Its description in RNAcentral is "partial 16S ribosomal RNA". It matches the Rfam family "Bacterial small subunit ribosomal RNA", at positions 524 to 773 of the family's 1533-position model. The record is from RNAcentral.